Molecule: ribosomal RNA, 253 nt
Filed under: uncultured bacterium
Lineage: Bacteria
Description: partial 16S ribosomal RNA
Rfam family: Bacterial small subunit ribosomal RNA
Source: RNAcentral
UACGUAGGCAGCAAGCGUUGUUCGGAGUUACUGGGCGUAAAGGGUGCGUAGGCGGCUUUUUAAGUUUGGUGUGAAAUCUCCCGGCUCAACUGGGAGGGUGCGCCGAAUACUGAGAAGCUAGAGUGUGGGAGAGGAAAGUGGAAUUCCUGGUGUAGCGGUGAAAUGCGUAGAUAUCGGGAGGAACACCCGUGGCGAAAGCGGCUCUCUGGACCACUACUGACGCUGAGGCGCGAAAGCUAGGGGAGCAAACAGG